Toxorhynchites rutilus septentrionalis is the source of this 1151-nucleotide long non-coding RNA. RefSeq lists it as uncharacterized. The record is from RefSeq and is a predicted model, not a curated record. The transcript is spliced from 3 exons. Lineage: Eukaryota; Metazoa; Arthropoda; Insecta; Diptera; Culicidae.
UGGGAUUCUCUCUUCUUUCUAUGUAUUGGAUGUUUGGCAACGCGAGUGCCGCUCCCGAUUUUAGAUUUGAGCAACUAGCCAAAAUGGGUGCUGGAUGUGACUGGGCGGCUGUUUUAGCCAAGACACCCACCUACCAACACUCCGAAAGACUCAUGCUUUCCUUUUUUUUUGCUAUUUUUUCAUUUGGAUAUUUCCCCCAAAUGGCAGAGUCUUUCGGCGGGGUUUUCUUGUUCUUCAAAUUUCAAAACCCGGCGAGCGCUUCGACUUGAACUCUGCUCGGGAGGUUAAAGGGUAUCGCCCGCGAAUGCUUGAAUGCGCGACCAAUGAAAGCGCAGGGGAAUUUCGGUAUGAAUACAAAAUAGUUAACAUCGUUAACUAUUACGUAAUUCCGGUUCCAAUGAAUGUCUCGCUGAUCUGAGGAUCUUGAGAUAUGCUUGCCAUUCCGACUUCGAAAGUGAAAAAGGCAGGAGCGGAUUAGUUUGUUCUGGUGUCGCGAGUUGAAAUCCGAAGAAUAGUGAUUAAAUUUAGUCCAGUAGUUGUUUUCCGUGAAUUUAACUCUCCGCUUGUGUCCCCAUUGAGCGGAACUGAAGGAAAAAGCCGCUUCUGACCCACGAUCGGAGAUUGGAUUUCCGCCACCUUGUCCGUCAAUUCUAGUGGCCGCGCGGAGCGCAAACCAUCACUCGCGCAUCCAGGGAAGGCGCAUCACGACACAUCUACGAGUCGAACGCGCACUCAACGCCUACGGACUUACCAUUCAUCGCCUGGCGUGGAACGGCGAUAAGGUAGAUUCUCCACGUAAAACCUAGGUAGUGUGAGUAGAAAACUAUUUUUACCCUAAAAUAACAUGCGCAUGUAGGGUUAAAAGAACCAAAGAAUAAAACCACACACAACUAACAACGCCACACAACAAUGCCACAUGCAAUCGAAGCGUAGAGAUUUACCGACGGCGCGCUUAUGCUGAUCGCUAUUAAUAAAGGGUUACACAAGAUGCGAAAUUAGGCUUUGUAGAAUAAUCGCUGGACUUGAAUCAAUGGGUCCGAUGUUCGAAUCCCGUAAUAGUUAAAUAAAAUUGUUCAUGUAGUUAUUAUUUUUCGUUAAUUGGAAGUUUCGAAGUAAAUGUUGUAAAUAUAAUUAAAACUUGUGGGAUAAUA